RNAcentral lists this ribosomal RNA (561 nucleotides) under uncultured bacterium. RNAcentral describes it as "bacterial SSU rRNA". It matches the Rfam family "Bacterial small subunit ribosomal RNA", at positions 338 to 916 of the family's 1533-position model. The record is from RNAcentral.
CCUACGGGAGGCAGCAGUGGGGAAUAUUGGACAAUGGGCGAAAGCCUGAUCCAGCAAUGCCGCGUGAGUGAUGAAGGCCUUAGGGUUGUAAAGCUCUUUUACCAGGGAUGAUAAUGACAGUACCUGGAGAAUAAGCUCCGGCUAACUCCGUGCCAGCAGCCGCGGUAAUACGGAGGGAGCUAGCGUUGUUCGGAAUUACUGGGCGUAAAGCGUACGUAGGCGGUUAUUCAAGUCAGAGGUGAAAGCCUGGAGCUCAACUCCAGAACUGCCUUUGAAACUAGGUAGCUAGAAUCACGGAGAGGUUAGUGGAAUUCCGAGUGUAGAGGUGAAAUUCGUAGAUAUUCGGAAGAACACCAGUGGCGAAGGCGACUAACUGGACGUGUAUUGACGCUGAGGUACGAAAGCGUGGGGAGCAAACAGGAUUAGAUACCCUGGUAGUCCACGCCGUAAACGAUGAUAACUAGCUGUUCGGUCUCUACGAGACUGAGUGGCGCAGCUAACGCAUUAAGUUAUCCGCCUGGGGAGUACGGUCGCAAGNUUAAAACUCAAAGGAAUUGACGG